Molecule: long non-coding RNA, 745 nt
Organism: Folsomia candida
Lineage: Eukaryota; Metazoa; Arthropoda; Collembola; Entomobryomorpha; Isotomidae
Exons: 2
Source: RefSeq, a predicted model, not a curated record
AUGGUUUCUUAGGCUUAUUAUCGAGGUUGAUCGACGGCCUUCGUUGUUCUUCGACUUUUCGCAUUUUUUUCCCCUCGAAGGUAAGCAAUGUAGUUUUUUACAACUUUUAAAGGUAGGUUACCAAAUUUCAUUAUUAUUAUUAUUUUUAUUAUUAUUAUUAUCAUUAUUAUUAUCAUUAUUAUUUUUGAAUUUGCAGAUGGGAAAGUAUAACCACCGCGUCACGGUAAGUGGACUCCCAUUUGGGAGUGCAUUUACUCUGACUGUUCCAGGAGUUGGUGGUGGAAAUCGUGGCGGCGGUGGAAGGCGUGGUGGUGGAAAAGGCGGUGGAAAACGUUCUUUAAACGCUAAAGUGCCAAUUCAAAAAACAAUUCAAGAGUUAGCAACGGUUCUCAUAUUUUACAUUUUAAUUUUAUUAUAGAAAAAAAUAAGAAAAAUCAGCGAUGCUGGCGUUGCAAGGAGAAGGGACACUUCGGGAAUGAAUGCAAUUAUACAGAAGAAGAAGCUGCUGCCAAGAAGGCAGAGUUUUUCAAGAAGAAAGAAGAAAAAGCUGCUACUUCUACUUCUGCUGCCGCCUUCAAACCGCCAUUUGCGGGGUGGAAACCAGGCUUCGUUAUGCCGACCCCACCCACCAAUCCCAAUAAUAUUGAGAUGAAUUAAUGUCUUAAUUUCUUCCUAUUGUAUUAGAUUCUCGAAUAUUUUACUUAGUUCGUUUUUUUACUAAUAAAUGAGACAUUUUUUAUUAAAA